RNAcentral lists this ribosomal RNA (1384 nucleotides) under Azospirillum brasilense. Its description in RNAcentral is "bacterial LSU rRNA". It matches the Rfam family "Bacterial large subunit ribosomal RNA", at positions 1 to 1435 of the family's 2925-position model. The record is from RNAcentral. Lineage: Bacteria; Pseudomonadati; Pseudomonadota; Alphaproteobacteria; Rhodospirillales; Azospirillaceae.
AGGAUCAAGCGUCUGAAGGGCAUCUGGUGGAUGCCUUGGCACUGAGAGGCGAUGAAGGACGCAGCACGUUGCGAUAAGCCAUGGGGAGCCGCGAGCAGGCUUUGAUCCGUGGAUUUCCGAAUGGGGCAACCCACCGCUUAACGCGGUAUCCCACGCUGAAUCCAUAGGCGUGGGAGGCGAACCCGGCGAACUGAAACAUCUAAGUAGCCGGAGGAAAGGACAUCAACCGAGACUCCGCUAGUAGUGGCGAGCGAACGCGGACCAGGCCAGUGGUUGGACCGACAUAACCGGAAGCGUCUGGAAAGGCGCACCAGAGCGGGUGAUAGUCCCGUACGGGUAAACCAGGUUCAAUCCUCGAGUAGGGCGGGGCACGUGAAACCCUGUCCGAACAUGGGGGGACCACCCUCCAAGCCUAAGUACUCCUCAGUGACCGAUAGUGCACCAGUACCGUGAGGGAAAGGUGAAAAGCACCCCGACGAGGGGAGUGAAACAGUUCCUGAAACCGGAUGCCUACAAGCAGUCGGAGCCGCCUCGCGCGGUGACGGCGUACCUUUUGUAUAAUGGGUCAGCGACUUACAGUAAGCAGCGAGCUUAAGGCGGUAGCCGGAGGCGCAGCGAAAGCGAGUCUGAACAGGGCGCGUGAGUUGCUUGCUGUAGACCCGAAACCCGGUGAUCUAGCCAUGGACAGGUUGAAGGUGCGGUAACACGCACUGGAGGACCGAACCCACGCCUGUUGAAAAAGUCGGGGAUGAUCUGUGGCUAGGGGUGAAAGGCCAAUCAAACCGGGAAAUAGCUGGUUCUCCGCGAAAGCUAUUUAGGUAGCGCGUCGGGCGAUUGCCCACGGGGGUAGAGCACUGGAUGGGCUAGGGGGCCUCGCGGCUUACCAAACCUAACCAAACUCCGAAUACCGUGGAGCACAGCCCGGCAGACAGACGGUGGGUGCUAAGGUCCAUCGUCGAGAGGGAAACAGCCCAGACCGCCAGCUAAGGUCCCCAAAUCACGGCUAAGUGGGAAAGGAUGUGGGAAGGCCAUGACAACCAGGAGGUUGGCUUAGAAGCAGCCAUCCUUUAAAGAAAGCGUAAUAGCUCACUGGUCUAGUUAAGCCGGCCUGCGCCGAAAAUGUAUCGGGGCUCAAGCCGUGUACCGAAGCUGCGGAUGUGAUCUCUGAUCACGUGGUAGCGGAGCGUUCCGUAAGCCUGCGAAGGGUCCCCGCGAGGGUGCCUGGAGGUAUCGGAAGUGAGAAUGCUGACAUGAGUAGCGACAAACAGUGUGAGAAACACUGUCGCCGAAAGUCCAAGGGUUCCUGCGCAAGGUUAAUCCACGCAGGGUGAGCCGGCCCCUAAGGCGAGGCCGAAAGGCGUAGUCGAUGGGAACCACGUUAAUA